This is a non-coding RNA of Mycena galericulata, 92 nucleotides long. The record is from the annotation of a GenBank genome assembly. Lineage: Eukaryota; Fungi; Basidiomycota; Agaricomycetes; Agaricales; Mycenaceae.
GGCUCAGUGGCAGAGGAUCUUCAUCUGCUUUCAAUGCAUAGGAUUUCUUUCUGAUUGUGCAGAUAAUGCCUGUUCGACUCGGGCCUGAGCCA